CCUACGGGAGGCAGCAGUGAGGAAUAUUGGUCAAUGGACGCAAGUCUGAACCAGCCAUGCCGCGUGAAGGAAGAAGGCUUUCGGGUUGUAAACUUCUUUUCUCAGGGACGAAGCAAGUGACGGUACCUGAGGAAUAAGCCACGGCUAACGACGUGCCAGCAGCCGCGGUAAUACGUAGGUGGCAAGCGUUAUCCGGAUUUACUGGGUGUAAAGGUCGUGUAGGCGGGACUGCAAGUCAGAUGUGAAAACCAUGGGCUCAACCUAUGGCCUGCAUUUGAAACUGUAGUUCUUGAGUACUGGAGAGGCAGACGGAAUUCCUAGUGUAGCGGUGAAAUGCGUAGAUAGUAGGAGGAACACCAGUGGCGAAGGCGGUCUGCUGGACAGCAACUGACGCUGAGGCGCGAAAGCGUGGGGAGCAAACAGGAUUAGAUACCCUAGUAGUC
RNAcentral lists this ribosomal RNA (443 nucleotides) under uncultured bacterium. RNAcentral's name for it is "partial 16S ribosomal RNA". It matches the Rfam family "Bacterial small subunit ribosomal RNA", at positions 338 to 795 of the family's 1533-position model. The record is from RNAcentral.